GACGAACGCUGGCGGCGUGCCUAAUACAUGCAAGUCGAACGACGAGACUUUAACUGAUGCUUGCAUCGACCAAAGGAUCGGAGUGGCGAACGGGUGAGUAACACGUGGGUAACCUGCCUAUCAGAGGGGGAUAACACUUGGAAACAGGUGCUAAUACCGCAUAACAAUCAUAACCGCAUGGUUAUGAUUUGAAAGGCGCUUCUGGUGUCACUGAUAGAUGGACCCGCGGUGCAUUAGCUAGUCGGUGGGGUAACGGCCUACCGAGGCGAUGAUGCAUAGCCGACCUGAGAGGGUGAUCGGCCACAUUGGGACUGAGACACGGCCCAAACUCCUACGGGAGGCAGCAGUAGGGAAUCUUCGGCAAUGGACGAAAGUCUGACCGAGCAACGCCGCGUGAGUGAAGAAGGUUUUCGGAUCGUAAAACUCUGUUGUUAGAGAAGAACAGGAGAAGUAGUAACUGGCUUCUUUUUGACGGUAUCUAACCAGAAAGCCACGGCUAACUACGUGCCAGCCGCCGCCGU
This 521-nucleotide ribosomal RNA is filed under the name uncultured bacterium. RNAcentral's name for it is "bacterial SSU rRNA". It matches the Rfam family "Bacterial small subunit ribosomal RNA", at positions 28 to 521 of the family's 1533-position model. The record is from RNAcentral.